AAAUUAAAAAUAGCUUUGUUUGCUGUCUCCCGACCGCCCCUAAAAAAACGCUGCGCUCCGAAAAAUUUUAUUUGCUCUCGCCGACCAUUUUUUUUUUUUUUUUGGUGCCGCAUAUUUUUACCGAUAUCCGUUCAAUAAUGGCGUGUAGUAUACUGGUUCCCGCGUAUUAUUCGUCACGUGUAUCGACUAUCAAGUACCGCCGGGUAAAAGUCGAUUGUGUACAUUUCCGUUACAAUUUUGCAAAACGAAAGUUAGAAGAUCUUCAAGAAGACGAGUAUUUUAUCAUCUCGUCAACAUUUAUUAUUACGUUUAUUCAACUUUGUUGAAAAAUAACCUCCACGAGAAUGAAUUGGUCUGGGCAUGGGCCGAUCUGUCUAAUGACGUCGAGGAUUUUUAUCCGAAAAAAAUCGGACGUUCUUACGGACUUUAAGAAUAGUCUUCUAGUGGCUCAAAAUGCAAGGCACUGAAUGUGGAUAAACCAAGAGAAUAAAUUGACAGGGAAACAUGAUCUCUAAAACACAGCCUUGAGAAAUUUGAUUAAAGCUGUGUUUCAGUCAUUACAGUUGAUGGAGAUGCUCUGCAAGGGAGAGUGUUUGUAUGACUGCAGAUGUCAUGCCAAUCUCACGUGGAGUUCCCUUACUGUGCCUCCAACAUUGGACGACCAGAUAUUUGUGCCCAUUGUGAUGAGCCAGAAGCACAGAAAAAUCCAAAACUGUUAACAAAGU
Long non-coding RNA from Ruditapes philippinarum (Manila clam), 725 nucleotides. RefSeq lists it as uncharacterized. The record is from RefSeq and is a predicted model, not a curated record. Lineage: Eukaryota; Metazoa; Mollusca; Bivalvia; Venerida; Veneridae. The transcript is spliced from 3 exons.